AGUGAACGCUGGCGGUAGGCCUAACACAUGCAAGUCGAACGGCAGCACAGUAAGCGCUUGCUCUUACGGGUGGCGAGUGGCGGACGGGUGAGGAAUACAUCGGAAUCUACUUUUUCGUGGGUGAUAACGUAGGGAAACUUACGCUAAUACCGCAUACGACCUACGGGUGAAAGCAGUGGAUCUUCGGACCUUGCGCGAUUGAAUGAGCCGAUGUCGGAUUAGCUAGUUGGCGGGGUAAAGGCCCACCAAGGCGACGAUCCGUAGCUGGUCUGAGAGGAUGAUCAGCCACACUGGAACUGAGACACGGUCCAGACUCCUACGGGAGGCAGCAGUGGGGAAUAUUGGACAAUGGGCGCAAGCCUGAUCCAGCCAUACCGCGUGGGUGAAGAAGGCCUUCGGGUUGUAAAGCCCUUUUGUUGGGAAAGAAAAGCAGCAGGUUAAUACCCCGCUGUUCUGACGGUACCCAAAGAAUAAGCACCGGCUAACUUCGUG
This 492-nucleotide ribosomal RNA is filed under the name uncultured bacterium. RNAcentral's name for it is "partial 16S ribosomal RNA". It matches the Rfam family "Bacterial small subunit ribosomal RNA", at positions 29 to 507 of the family's 1533-position model. The record is from RNAcentral.